This is a long non-coding RNA of Leucoraja erinaceus (little skate), 1000 nucleotides long. RefSeq lists it as uncharacterized. NCBI's taxonomy places the organism in Eukaryota, Metazoa, Chordata, Chondrichthyes, Rajiformes, Rajidae. The record is from RefSeq and is a predicted model, not a curated record. The transcript is spliced from 4 exons.
GCCACACCCCGCAACCGUGCGUUGAGGGGAUGGCACCCGACGGGUCCCACUGUCGAGUAGUGCUCUAAAACUUUCCCGUCCAUUUACGUGUCCAAUGUGUUGUUGGUAAUUAUUUGAUUUGACCAGUGCUUUUCAAUAAAUCUUUUUUGACUUUGGGCAAGGCCACACACAUUACCUCUACCUAAUUUCUGCUGAAAAUGGAGGAAGCAAAACGCCUGUUUGAACUGCGAAAAUCUGCGGGUGAAAGUGGAAGCAAGAGGAACUGCCGAUGCUGGUUUACAAAACAAAAAAGCACACCGAGUGCUAGAGUAACUCAACGGGUCAGGCAGCACCUCUGGAGAACAUGGAUAGAUGACGUUUCGGUCGGGAUCUUCAGACGGCUCUGAAAGUGCUCUCAAAAGUUGCUGAGACGUUGUUGUUGUUGUUUGUCUGCGGUGUUACACGUAUAGCUUAAACUUCAUGUCCAAUCCUAGAUUCUCUGAGUACGUUGCGGAUCUUCUGUUUGGUUUUUCGGGAAGAUUUAGGAGUCAACCACGUUGCGUCAUCGGAGUCAACCUAGCACACGUUGGGACAUGGGUAUCACUGGCAUUUAAAGGCCUUCUCUCAUUGUUCUUGAGGAGAUGGAGGUGGACAGACAUCUGCCUAGAGUCGCUGUGGUCCUUGUGAUGAAGAUUCUACCCAUAUGCUGUUAGACUUGCUUCAUCGCGUGUGGUGUUUAACUUCCGGAUGAGGAACAGCACCGUGCAUUGGGCGGUGAUUAAUCCAGUCAAUCGAGUUUGGAGGGUGGUAAACCACAACAUACUCCUGACAGAUGCUGCCUGACCCACUGAGGGUUUCAUGUAUUUCCUGUAUUCACCUAUUAUUACACUGGAUUAUGAAUGGAUUCAGGUGGACGUUGAAGAUUGCCAAUAACAGUUUUUCAAAGAACAUCAUUGGAUUCCUUUCGGACCGAGAAUUAUUGUUCAACCAGCAUCACUCAAAAUAAAUUGCCUGUUUUCUC